AGAGUGGAGAGGAAGAGAAGGAAGGAAAAGCUCGGUGACUCACUUCCAGCUGAACAAUGCCACAUCUCAGCCCUGCGCCGGGGGAGGGGCACGCCUGUCAACAGCCAGGGCCCGGCUGAAGGACGGUCCGGUCCGGAAGGGGGGACCCCAUCCAGAGAGCCUUGCCCUCCCCACCCCCCCAUCUGCCCUUGGAGGUAUGAACUCAGCAUCCCAGCACUAGAUGCUAUGGCUGUGCUUCCCCCUCUGACCAAACAAAACUGGGGUGCUCUCCGUUUAUCCUCAGCAGAAUUCUCCAGGUCCGACGGCCCCACCAGGCACAGCCCAGCCCGGGACCCCUGUCUCUAGGAGCCUGAAGCCCCCCUGGAACCCCUGUAGGACUCUCUUCCAGCUGUGCCUGCUGCCUGUGUGCUCCUCACCCCCCCACCCUUGUCCUCUUGGUCCUUCAGGCUCCAGCCCCUUCUCUGACACUGCCUCCUGGCCCUGAGUCCUUCCUGCCCCAACCAUGGUUUCUGUUCCUUAUUUUCUGGAUAGUGAGCCACCCUCACUCCCUCUCACCUAGACUAUUGGCUCUAAAGGGUAGGCUCUAGAAUUUCUUUGUUGUUGUUGUCAUUGUUGUCUUUUUAGGGCCGCACCCAAGGCAUAUGGCGAUUCCCGGGCUAGGGCUCGAUUUGGAGCUGCAAGUGUCGGCCUUCACCACAGCCACGCCAGAUUCGAUCUGCAUCUUCGACCUACACUACAGCUCAUGGCAACACUGGAUCCUUAACCCAUGGAGUGAGGCCAGGGAUCGAACCCGUGUCUUCAUGGAUACUAGUCAGGUUCAUAACCCGCUGAGCCUCAAGGGGAGCUCCCUAGAAUUUCUUCUGUCUCUGGAACUCCCUCCCCCUCCUCCCAGCAGAGCCUUGGAAAUGAGCUAGUGCCCAGCAAGGUUUUGAGAGAUGACUAGGAAGGGAUGAGAAGAACAGAAAAGGCAAGAAGAGCUUCUUCUUGGGCCUCUGCUCGCUAGGUCACUGGUUUCUCUCUGGACUUGACUCUCCUGGACAGGGCCCCUCCCCAUUCAGCAGAGGGAGGGUUUCCCACCAGGCCCCACCCACACCAGGUCCCUGAGAGCCAGAGCUGGGCAGGGCCUUGUCUACUGCACUAACCAGGAGCCAAUCCUGUGCUGAGCUCACUUACCCCACAGUAGCCUUGUGACCAGGUGUUGCUUAUGUGCCUCAGUUUACACUUGUGGAAACUGAGGCUUCGAGAGGCAGGAGAAUUGCCCAGGCCACCCAGCUGGUAAGCGGCGGAGCCCCAAAGCCUGUGCCCUGCACCACCUCCCCCAUGGGACCAUCUGGCCCCUCAGCAGCCUUGCAUCUUUUUCCAGGUUUGCCCUCUGACUCUCCCUGGUCUCCGACCUUGAACUUUCGCUCUGCUUUGUCUGGCCUGAAACUCUGCCUCUUUGUUCCUAUCCUCACCCUUUGCCUGACAAUGUCUCCUUUAAUGGGCCCCUGAGGCAGAAUGAAGUCCACCUGUGGUUGAGGGCAAUUUGUGGCUCAGCGGUAAUGAACCAGACUGGUAUCCGUGAGGAUGCGAGUUUGAUCCCUGGCCUUGCUCCGGCAUUGCCGUUCCUGGGCACCAGCAGCACUGUGCUCACUAAAUGUUCCCAGUUGGCCCCCAGCCUUCUUUCUGGCUCUCUCUCUCUCUCUCUCUCUCUCUCUCUCUCACACACACACACACACACACACACACACCACUGCCGCCUUGCCUUCAGAGCCUGCAUAAUCCCCAUUGCCAAUGAUGAUGGAAAAAACAGAUAAUGGGCUCUGGGAAAUGCAUGGGGCAGACUCUCCUUGUGGUACAAACUCAAGGGUGUGAGCCCAGGCCGCAGAUAGCAUGUAAUUAUUUGGUAAUAAAUCUCAUUCCAGCCCCAAGCCAGUUGUCCCUGCUUUUUCCCCUCUCUUUCCUGUGCUCCUUGCCAGGCCCACAAUGUCUCGGUGUCGGAUAUGAAAUAUGGUUGUGAUUUUCAUGUCUAACCAAAGUCAAGGCUGAUUCCUCGAUGAGGGCAGUUUUGCUGGAAGAUAAAGACUGACCCAGAUUCCUGUGUGUUGAUGCUAUGGAAGAGACCGGGUUUCCAGGGGAGGCGAGAGAUGGACACCGUUUGGAUGGAGGAGAGGUGAAUUCUUUGCCAAGGGGGAUUCGAGUGACCCAGCUGGGAGUGGCUGUUAGCAUACCUGGGAUGGACCUGACUCACUCUGUGUGACCUUCAUGACGUAGAGUUAGGAACACAGACUUGGUAGGAUGACACUUCACUACCCGCUUCAAAUGAGUGUGGCCGAGUGACUUGCUUUGGCCAAUGACCUGUGAGUAGGAUUGAUACAUGCCACUUCCAGGUGGCCACGAUGAGAGCAAAAGUGUUAACCCUCAAAUCCCCUUCUGGCUGCCAUGAUGGUUGUGAACAAUGAUGUCGCUAGAAGCUUCCUUCAGCCUGGAUCCCUGAGUGAGGACAGCAUAGCUCAGAAAUCUCCAGGUGACCUGCAGUGCUCAUGUGGCAUGUGAGAGAAAUACAUCUUUACUGUUU
Molecule: long non-coding RNA, 2557 nt
Filed under: Sus scrofa (pig)
Lineage: Eukaryota; Metazoa; Chordata; Mammalia; Artiodactyla; Suidae
Description: lncRNA (ENSSSCG00005012700.1)
Source: RNAcentral